CCCAACACGUCUGUUUCCGCAAUUCCCAACAGCUCACUGCUUUUAUGAGCCUGGAGGGUUCGGCUUGACAUUGGCCGUGUGGUCAAAAAAAAACACAAAAAAAGCCAAAAAAAAUCACUAAAAUGACAACUAUCUUGGCGAAAUGGUAUCAGCACCCAAUGGAAAGAUUUAUGGACAAAAUGGCAAUGGUGAGUGUAUCCACUUACCGGGACGACCACUUGGAUGAGCUGGAGAGAAACAGAGCAGCUAAACCUAAACUGCAUACCCAGGGAGCGACUGGCGCUCAGGAAAACAGACUACAUUCCUGCCAUAAGAAAAUGUCAAAAAGGGGAUCCAAUUGAAAGAAGAAAUCAUUCUGCAAUUUACCAAGAUUUUUACAAAGUUUGAAAAUCCUAUUUCAUGACUAAUUCUUGUGGAUUCCUUUAACUUUUUCCUUUCAACUCAUAGCAAUGCCACUUUUCAAGACAGCUAUUCCAAUGCUUUCCUGGCCAAUCUCCUAUCUGAGAGGAAGUGUUGAGUCUUAAUGUAUUGAAUAUAGUAAAGAUGUUCCUGCUGUAAUGAGUUAAAUCUCUAACCUAAUCCAGUGGGAAAUAUGGGUGUACAGAACUCCAUAUUUCUCAGCUCCUGCAAUUUUGGACACUUGGUAAUUCUUGAUUUCUAUCGCACCACCACUGAAUUCAUUCUGUCCUCAAACCCGUCUACUUUUCCAUUUAAAGUACUCCUAAAUUACAUUUUCAUACUGACCCCUGUUCUUAGGCAUUACAAUUCAACUGCAGCUCAUAAACUGCGAAAAACAGGGCUCAUUAUCACAGUGCAACAAUAACCACUUCUCUCUCAAUGUCGGCAAAACAAAAGAACUGAUCGCCUACUUCAGGAAGAAUGGAAGAGAAGGCACCCCCAUCUGGAGCAACGGUACAGAGCUUGAGAGGGUGUGGAGCGACAAAUUCCUAAGAGUGACAAAAACCUACAACCAAAGGUGGACUUCCCAGAUUGUUGUGACUGGAGGGAAGGCACAGCAACUCUUCCUCCUCAGGUGGCCCAGGAAAUUUAGCAUUACAAGCAACUUUUAAAGGUGCACUUAGAAAGCGUACUAUCUGCCAGGCAGAAGAUACAGAAGCUUGAUCACACUCACCAACAAGCUCAAGGGCCACUUCUUCACUAUCGUCAUUAGACUGAUGAAUGGACUCUUGUAAUUUCAAAUUAUGUUGGUCUUGCCAAUGUUAGUCUUACUUUGCACACUUCCUGACCAGUUCUAACCCUGUAUGCCUUGCUGUAAGCACUGUAUGAUCUAUAUGUCAGUGUUUGCUGUAAGUUGCCUGUACUGCUCACAAAGCAUGUUUCGCUGUAUUGUUGAGAGAUACAAUAAAUUUGCAUCUUUAGAAGUGUUAAAA
Long non-coding RNA from Stegostoma tigrinum, 1391 nucleotides. RefSeq lists it as uncharacterized. The record is from RefSeq and is a predicted model, not a curated record. The transcript is spliced from 3 exons. NCBI's taxonomy places the organism in Eukaryota, Metazoa, Chordata, Chondrichthyes, Orectolobiformes, Stegostomatidae.